Non-coding RNA from Paramuricea clavata, 75 nucleotides. The record is from the annotation of a GenBank genome assembly. Lineage: Eukaryota; Metazoa; Cnidaria; Anthozoa; Malacalcyonacea; Plexauridae.
GACCGCGUAGCUCAGUUGGUAGAGCAUUGGGCUAGUUUUCCAAAGGUCGUAUAGGUUCAAUUCCCACCGUGGUCA